UGCCAGCAAUUCUAAUGCACCUUUCAGGCAC
RNAcentral lists this non-coding RNA (31 nucleotides) under Homo sapiens (human). The record is from RNAcentral. Lineage: Eukaryota; Metazoa; Chordata; Mammalia; Primates; Hominidae.